RNAcentral lists this long non-coding RNA (1603 nucleotides) under Olea europaea subsp. europaea. Lineage: Eukaryota; Viridiplantae; Streptophyta; Magnoliopsida; Lamiales; Oleaceae. The record is from RNAcentral.
UGCAGUUAUAGUAUUAACAUUCUAUGAACAGGUAUAAAGAAUCAAAUACCUAACAAAUAAGAAAGCAGCACUUUCAUUCAUACGUCUAAGCAUUAAAUUUGAAUUCAUUAUCUCAAUGACUCCUCUAUAAAGAAACAAUUUUGCAUUCGACACCUAUAAUAAGUGCAUGUAUACACAAUCGAAAAAGGACCAAUUAGCAAGUAAACAAGAGAAACAUAAAUAUAAACUAUUCCCAUGAUAUUAUAAACUUUAUUGUUAAAAAUCAACAUUACCAACAGAACAGGAGCAAACAGCCAUGGCAGAACAGCAAGAUAGCUGAAAAAAUGGAAUUUGCAUCGUUUUCUGAAUCAACUCAACUAUCAAUGCAUUUGAAACCGCGACAAACACACAACCAGACAAUGAACAAGAUGGUGCAGACGAACAAAUCAAGCGAUAACACGAUCCACGCUUGCUUUUUCCAAACUUUCUUGGCUUUCUGAUGGUUGUGGUUUCCCAUCAAUUGACAAGAGUACAUCUCAUUCUUGUGCAUUACCGCUGAAAACUCCCGGCUCAAUAAAAUCCCGUCCCUAUCGUCAUCUUCAGCCCCAACGUCGACCUUCUUCUCGAUACCUCCUCUACCCUUCAUGUCCCCGCUACCAAUCUUAAAAUUCACAAACAUUCUAUUCUUCUUCUUCUUCUUCAAGUUCAUCGACGAAUCCCCAUUUGGCCCUCCCAAAUGGCCUGAACCGGAAUACAAACUGUCGCUUUGGUCAAAUCUUUCACAUAUUGGAACCGCUGGUUCCGAUUCCGGCCCCGGACCCAGCAAUCGAUGGAAAACCGGAUUAAAUUCCCCCUGAAAACAAUGAGCACUCACCCGGUCCAACCUCUUCUUCCCCAGAUCGCCCUGGAAAAACUUGUCAAACGUUUGUUUUGCGCUCUUGAGGAAGCCCAACCCCUCACAUUUCUCCAGUUUUUCAUCAAAAAUCGCGAAAUAAAUCAAAGGGUCAUCGAUCAAGAAAGUGUAGGUUUGAGACCGGACGGUGUGGGUGAAGAUGGAAUGAAACGACGGCGUUUUCUCCAAACAUUUUCCUGCGAUCGAUCCAAGUUUCUCAUCCUUCGAAUUGAACUCAGCCAACACCGUGGUACCCCUGGCAAUGCACACAUAAUGAACCAGAUCCGGUGCCGAAAUCAUCAUUCAAAUCCGACCCGACCCGUGUUGUUUAUAAAAAAACCCACCCGCGCACGUUUCUUGUUUUGACAGAUUCUGCCGCAAUUAAAGACAAAAUUUAUAUGCUCAGAAAUCCUGAUUGUCUUUUUGAACGGGGAAAUGUGAAAAUGGCAUUGAGAUCGAUGAUUUUUUAGGGUUUCAGAAAGGUAUCGGAAAAGGAGGAGGUGGAGAGAGAAGAAACACUUCAACAACCAACUCUUCCACCACCCUAGGGACGCCGUAGACAGUUGCCCUCGCAAUAGAUGUGGGGAAAUAAAAAAAUAUCUCCUAUUUCCAUUUUGUAUAAUUCAAUUAUUGACAGUAAAUUAUUAAAAUAAAAUAAAAUAAAAUAAAAAACACGAUUAUUCUUUUCGGUGAUAUAAAGAGAACAAGUGGGAAUCUUUCAUAUUUCUUGAG